CCAGUGUCCCUCUAGUUAUGGUUGAUCUAUGCAAAGGGAGAGCAUCCAAGAAAUAAUAAGGGAAAAAACCCCUCCUCUCCCCCCCAAAAAAACACCAAAAAACCCAAACAAACAAACAAAAAAAAACAACCAAAAAGAACCCCCAAAAUCCAAACCCUUUACAAUUUAGAAUAUUAUGUGUUCAAGGGUCAGGCACUUCACUUUCUUCCACACGCAAGAACUCAAUCCCAGCUGAAGUGUAACCUUCAGCAGACACACCUGGCCUAGAAAUGAGGAUUCUCUGGGCCUGCUUCAAGUAAAACCCAGUUUAUCCUGUCCAGGAGGGAGGUAUUUUCCUCAUUUGCAAAGGGUUUUUAGAUUUAUGUUCUUUGUUAAAAAUACGGUAUAAGCAGCUAGUAGUGUAUUUUUGUGCUGGUUUUGAUACAUGUAGUCAGUUGAUCUACUUGUAUAUACUUUGAAAACUUGUCUGGGUGGGAUAUUAAAAUUCUUUAAUUUUGAGUUGUCUAAAUGCAUAUGUGUGUAUUAACAAGUAGAGGUACAAAAAUCAAUACAUUAAAUUAAUUAGAUUUUAGAUUGUACUUCAAAGUGCAAAUACCAAUUUAAGCAAGAACAGUAUUGCUUUCAGCAAAGCAGAAUUUUAUCCAAGUGUGAACAGGUGGAUUAAAUACAAUGAUAUUGGAAAAAUACUCAGCCUUUUAAUAUUUCAAUUUUUUCUUCUCUUGCAGGUAAAUGCCCCAAACAAUCAUCUUUGCUUUUGUUGUGACUGAUUGUUAUGCCUGGGAAAACGAGCUGCAUACAGGGCUGGUGUUCUGCAGCUCUGGGCACGGAGUGACUCAACAUCCUGGGAGAAAAGCUGUCCUGCCUGGGGGCUGCUCCCUGCAUGGGAGCUGAGAGCUGCCUGACCCUCCCAGGUACCUUUAUAUUGAGAGUACUCUUGGUUCUGGCACAGUGAGCUUCCCUUUCCCCCGAGCUGGCUGUAACAC
Molecule: long non-coding RNA, 983 nt
Filed under: Junco hyemalis (dark-eyed junco)
Lineage: Eukaryota; Metazoa; Chordata; Aves; Passeriformes; Passerellidae
Description: lncRNA (ENSJHYG00000001938.1)
Source: RNAcentral